CCAGUUAGACCUUCAUCUCCUCAGAUGCUACCUAGUGACAGGUACAUUUCUGAAUUGUAGUCUAGCGUACGACUACUCCCCUUCAUAAGCAGAUUCAGCCUAAUGGACGGCUCAUUCUGCUGCUCAGAUGCUACCUAGUGACAGGUACAUUUCUGAAUUGUAGUCUAGUGUACGACUACUCCCCUUCAUAAGCAGAUUCAGCCUAAUGGACGGCUCAUUCUGCUGCUCAGAUGCUACCUAGUGACAGGUACAUUUCUGAAUUGUAGUCUAGCGUACGACUACCUCCCUUCAUAAGCAGAUGCAGCCUAAUGGACGGCUCAUUCUGCUCAGAUACGGUCUAAUGUACGAUCCAGUUAGACCUUCAUCUCCUCAGAUGCUACCUAGUGUACGGUACAUUUCUGAAGUGUAGUCUAGCAUAUGACUACCCCCUUUUAUCAUCAGAUUCAGCCUAAAUACGGUCUAAUGUACGAUCCAGUUAGACCUUCAUCUCCUCAGAUGCUACCUAGUGUACGGUACAUUUCUGAAGUGUAGUCUAGCAUAUGACUACCCCCUUUUAUCAUCAGAUUCAGCCUAAUGGACGACUCAUUCUGCUCAGAUACGGUUUAAUGUACGAUCCAGUUAGACCUUCAGCUCCUCAGAUGCUACCUAGUGUACGGUACAUUUCUGAAGUGUAGUCUAGCGUACGACUACCCCCUUUUAUCAUCAGAUUCAGCCUAAUGGACGGCUCAUUCUGCUCAGAUACGGUUUAAUGUACGAUCCAGUUAGACCUUCAGCUCCUCAGAUGCUACCUAGUGUACGGUACAUUUCUGAAGUGUAGUCUAGUGUACGACUACCCCCUUUUAUCAUCAGAUUCAGCCUAAUGGAUGGCUCAUUCUGCUCAGAUACGGUUUAAUGUACGAUCCAGUUAGACCUUCAGCUCCUCAGAUGCUACCUAGUGUACGGUACAUUUCUGAAGUGUAGUCUAGCAUAUGACUACCCCCUUUUAUCAUCAGAUUCAGCCUAAUGGACGGCUCAUUCUGCUCAGAUACGGUUUAAUGUACGAUCCAGUUAGACCUUCAGCUCCUCAGAUGCUACCUAGUGUACGGUACAUUUCUGAAGUGUAGUCUAGC
Molecule: long non-coding RNA, 1109 nt
Filed under: Lathyrus oleraceus (garden pea)
Lineage: Eukaryota; Viridiplantae; Streptophyta; Magnoliopsida; Fabales; Fabaceae
Description: Pisum sativum (pea) long non-coding RNA (PSAT_LNC036746)
Source: RNAcentral